This 1124-nucleotide long non-coding RNA is filed under the name Cricetulus griseus (Chinese hamster). Its description in RNAcentral is "lncRNA (ENSCGRG00015036812.1)". The record is from RNAcentral. Lineage: Eukaryota; Metazoa; Chordata; Mammalia; Rodentia; Cricetidae.
CAGAAGAGUUGCUCUCACUGGAGCUGGAGUACAGACUGCUGUGAGCUGCCUGGUAGAUGAUGCUAAGUAGUUCUGAUAUUUCAAUUUGGAUUCCUAGAUUAAAAAGCUGGAUUUAGUUGAGAGGAGAAUAUUAUAAUCACCUUUACCAAGAAAGAUUGGUGCCUAGACCCAACUGUCAUCAGAGAGGCUUCCUUCAGCAACUGAUGGAAACAGACGCCAAGACCCACUGAGUUUGCGGAAUCCUGCUGAAGAACGGAAUCCUUCCUCCCAUCAAGGGGGUCAAGGACAUCCAUAAGAAAACCCACAGAAUUAUCUAACCUGUUUCAUGGAGCUCACAGAGUCUGAACUUAGGCCCUCUACAUAUGGGACAGUUGUGUAGUGUGGGAGCAGGGGAUGCCUCUGAUUCUUUACUGGCUUUUGGGACCCUAUACUGGGUUGCCUUGCAAAGCCAUAAUACAAGGGCAGGUCCUUAGUUUUACUGCAACUUGAUAUACAUGGGAGGCCUGUGCUUUUUCUGAACAGAAACUGAGGCGUGGAUUGGUGGGAGUGGGGCAGUAUGGGGCAAACAUGUGUAGACAUGUAGGCAAAACACCCAUACGCAUAAAGUUAAAUUCUGUAUCUGCCAGGUGGCCUACUCAUUGCCUCUGCCAUUGGCUCCUGAAGCCCAAUUUAGUUCUAAAAUUAGGCACAGUAUUCAAUGAGUAUAUAAUUGAGUAAUGUUUUCUUAGUGGGUUAAUCUUGUUUUGGCACUAACUUGUUGAUCAUGUGUAAGACCAUUUAAGCCAGAGUGUCUGUUCUAAUGCUUCAUAAUUUGGUUGCAGGUAAAUUUGGCUCCUCAUAGAGAGCCUAAGCACUCCAUCAUAUUGCUUGCCUUCUCAGGGCUUCUUGAGGACCAGAAGUCUGUCCCCCUACUGUUUUCUGAACUUUACCCAGACAAACAAAUUUUAAAGCAGGAGGUGACUGUAGGGUGAAGAGUUCAAAACCCAGGGCCAUAGCUAUAGAGAACUUUUUAUUGUAUCAUUCCACAGGACUAUAGUGAUUGAUCCUUGGAGUUACUGAAACACUCAUGUUUAGAUUUUAAAUGGUUUGUUGUUUUCCCAAGUAAUUAAUAAAUUUGUUCAAAU